CCACUUAUUCCAACUUCUGACUUCACGUAUAAAAGGAAAGUUGGAACAUUUUAGGGUUUAAGGCAGCAGUGAGCGUCUGGCAAUUCCAAGGCGAUUCGGUUUCAAAGGGUAAAUCAGUGCGAUACAAUCAUUCUGCGACCAUAAACGACAUCGAUCAGUCCCUGAUUUCGUAUUCUCUUAAAAGAACAACCGAGUCAUGUAUAAGAUACAGGGUGACGGGCCACCUUGUGCAUGUGGAAGGGGUCGAAUGAAUCUUUAUACGGCUGGAAUUUCAAAGAAUUAUGGACGUCCAUCUAUAGAUGUCCAGCUUAGGAGGAUACGGUCAGUACCCGUUCCAAGGUUGAGGUUAGCAGUGUGGGACCACCAUCCGAACUCAUCUACUCUUACGAUCUAGUUCAAGGUAGAAGUUUUAUGUAUUACUUCAGUUUCAGUUUUUAUUUACUUUUGACGUUGAACUCUCAGAUUUAUAUUUAGGGAUCCUUGACAUAGGAUUUCCAAGUUGUAAUGGAGUAUUGUAUUAAAUAAAGGAUGGAUGGAUGUUGUAUUA
Long non-coding RNA from Cornus florida, 547 nucleotides. RefSeq lists it as uncharacterized. The record is from RefSeq and is a predicted model, not a curated record. Lineage: Eukaryota; Viridiplantae; Streptophyta; Magnoliopsida; Cornales; Cornaceae. The transcript is spliced from 3 exons.